Lolium perenne is the source of this 748-nucleotide long non-coding RNA. RefSeq lists it as uncharacterized. Lineage: Eukaryota; Viridiplantae; Streptophyta; Magnoliopsida; Poales; Poaceae. The record is from RefSeq and is a predicted model, not a curated record.
ACGUUGCAGGGAUACGGCAGUGAGGUGCCGUAUCGGUGCAAAAUACUGCACCAGGACGGGGAUACGCUCCGAUACGCGCCGAUACGCGUAUCCCAAAGUAUCCCAUUUUUAUCUAAUUUAAAAUAAACAAAGAAAUUCUGAGAACGGCUGGGACACGCGGGGAUACACCAGGAUACGUACAGGCUUGUUGCUACUCGAUCCACAGCCCAUGAGAAGGCCUACCCAAUGCAUGAUAAAACCUAACCGUAUGGAAUCCUCUCGCCAUCGCCUCGCAGUUGCCACAUCGCUAGAACUCUGGCGCAUCUGGAACUCCAUCUCGCCGCCGCCGGCAGCGCCUCGCCGAUCUUCUAGUCGUCGUCAUUCGUCCAGCUUGGAGAAUCUGUACGCAAGGAAUGGCGUCUAGGUCGAGCAGUCAAUCCUCUGUUGCUCGUUCUAGGACGACUAGGUCUGGAAGUAACACCGCUGAUGGAUCCGAAGACAACGAGUAUACUGAUCCUUUCUACCCCCUAUGGAGGGCAUAUUCUUUCAUCUAUAGCUUGAAGAGAAAUAUGAUGACCACCAAACGAGCUGAGGAUUUGGUGAUUGUGCAUAACAACUUGCGUCUGAAGCAUCUGGAGCUUGACGAACCAUCUGAAGCUUGACCUUUUCAACUUAGCACAUCUAUUUCAUAUUUUUGUUCCACAUUAUCCUUGUUUAAUUUGUAAUUCACUAUUGAAUUUUUGCAUGCAUUUAUACAUAUACUUCCGUA